CUACUCCUUUUACGGGGCAGCAGUAGGGAAUCUUCCGCAAUGGGCGAAAGCCUGACGGAGCAAUGCCGCGUGAGUGAUGAAGGUUUUCGGAUCGUAAAGCUCUGUUGCCAGGGAAGAACGCUUGGGAGAGUAACUGCUCUCAAGGUGACGGUACCUGAGAAGAAAGCCCCGGCUAACUACGUGCCAGCAGCCGCGGUAAUACGUAGGGGGCAAGCGUUGUCCGGAAUUAUUGGGCGUAAAGCGCGCGCAGGCGGUCAUUUAAGUCUGGUGUUUAAUCCCGGGGCUCAACCCCGGAUCGCACUGGAAACUGGGUGACUUGAGUGCAGAAGAGGAGAGUGGAAUUCCACGUGUAGCGGUGAAAUGCGUAGAUAUGUGGAGGAACACCAGUGGCGAAGGCGACUCUCUGGGCUGUAACUGACGCUGAGCGCUCGCUACCCC
RNAcentral lists this ribosomal RNA (438 nucleotides) under Paenibacillus sp. Its description in RNAcentral is "bacterial SSU rRNA". It matches the Rfam family "Bacterial small subunit ribosomal RNA", at positions 332 to 762 of the family's 1533-position model. Lineage: Bacteria; Bacillati; Bacillota; Bacilli; Caryophanales; Paenibacillaceae. The record is from RNAcentral.